ACUCCUACGGGAGGCAGCAGUAGGGAAUCUUCCACAAUGGACGAAAGUCUGAUGGAGCAACGCCGCGUGAGUGAUGAAGGGUUUCGGCUCGUAAAACUCUGUUGUUGGAGAAGAACAGGUGAUAGAGUAACUGUUAUCAUCUUGACGGUAUCCAACCAGAAAGCCACGGCUAACUACGUGCCAGCAGCCGCGGUAAUAC
This 199-nucleotide ribosomal RNA is filed under the name uncultured Lactobacillus sp. RNAcentral describes it as "partial 16S ribosomal RNA". It matches the Rfam family "Bacterial small subunit ribosomal RNA", at positions 335 to 526 of the family's 1533-position model. Lineage: Bacteria; Bacillati; Bacillota; Bacilli; Lactobacillales; Lactobacillaceae. The record is from RNAcentral.